AUCCAUCUGAUGAGUCCCAAAUAGGACAAAACACGUGUCCUGGAU
Molecule: non-coding RNA, 45 nt
Organism: Schistosoma haematobium
Lineage: Eukaryota; Metazoa; Platyhelminthes; Trematoda; Strigeidida; Schistosomatidae
Source: Rfam